CUAAUAAUUUUAAUGGCAGACUUAAAAAAGGAGAAACAAAAUAAAAUAAUCUUUUUUUCCUUCAUCUCUUUAUUAUAAAAAAAAAUUACCUGACCGGGACUGACAACAGGUGAAGCAGUACUAUUUUUAUUACAUUUUUCUAUCAUUAUUUUCUCCCACUUUAGCAGAAAUAAUAUAGUAGCAGCAGCAGCAGUAGUCAUAGUAGUAGCAGAAGUAGUAGUAGUAAUAGUAGUAGUAGCAGUAGUAGUUACCCUGUCAUAUCAUUAUACAUUAAUCUACAUCAUAAAAAGGCUAUAAUUUGCUUUAGUCUGCCCACAAACUUCUUUUCCAGUACACUAAGCAACAAUAUUCUUAAGUCUCCCCAUCACUCUGAUACAAAACACAAUAUUCUUUAGUCUCCCCAUCACUCUCUGAUACAAAACACAGUAUUCUUAAGUCUCCCCAUCACUCUCUGAUACAAAACACAAUAUUCUUAAGUCUCCCCAUCACUCUCUUCUCUGAUACAAAACACAAUAUUCUUAAGUCUCCCCAUCACUC
Molecule: long non-coding RNA, 537 nt
Organism: Eriocheir sinensis (Chinese mitten crab)
Lineage: Eukaryota; Metazoa; Arthropoda; Malacostraca; Decapoda; Varunidae
Exons: 2
Source: RefSeq, a predicted model, not a curated record